UUUCCGUAGGUGAACCUGCGGAAGGAUCGUUAGUGAAUUGAAUAUGUUAGCGGACCUCUUCGGAGUCCCUAGCAUCAAAUCAUAUCCAAAACCCGUGAACUGUAAGGCUGUCUUGAAAACGAAAGUGAUUAGAGCGCCUGCCCAUUUUAUACAAACAUUAAAGUAACAAACGUAGUCUUAUUAUAAUCUAAUAAAACUUUCAACAACGGAUCUCUUGGCUCUC
Molecule: unclassified non-coding RNA, 223 nt
Filed under: plant metagenome
Description: partial contains small subunit ribosomal RNA, internal transcribed spacer 1, and 5.8S ribosomal RNA
Source: RNAcentral